GACAGCAUGGGAGCUGCGGUCCCUGCUGUUACCGGCGGACGGGUGAGUAACACGUGGGUAACCUGCCUGUAAGACUGGGAUAACUCCGGGAAACCGGGGCUAAUACCGGAUGGUUGUUUGAACCGCAUGGUUCAGACAUAAAAGGUGGCUUCGGGUACCACUUACAGAUGGACCCGCGGCGCAUUAGCUAGUUGGUGAGGUAACGGCUCACCAAGGCGACGAUGCGUAGCCGACCUGAGAGGGUGAUCGGCCACACUGGGACUGAGACACGGCCCAGACUCCAACGGGAGGCAGCAGUAGGGAAUCUUCCGCAAUGGACGAAAGUCUGACGGAGCAACGCCGCGUGAGUGAUGAAGGUUUUCGGAUCGUAAAGCUCUGUUGUUAGGGAAGAACAAGUGCCGUUCAAAUAGGGCGGCACCUUGACGGUACCUAACCAGAAAGCCACGGCUAACUACGUGCCAGCAGCCGCGGUAAUACGUAGGUGGCAAGCGUUGUCCGGAAUUAUUGGGCGUAAAGGGCUCGCAGGCGGUUUCUUAAGUCUGAUGUGAAAGCCCCCGGCUCAACCGGGGAGGGUCAUUGGAAACUGGGGAACUUGAGUGCAGAAGAGGAGAGUGGAAUUCCACGUGUAGCGGUGAAAUGCGUAGAGAUGUGGAGGAACACCAGUGGCGAAGGCGACUCUCUGGUCUGUAACUGACGCUGAGGAGCGAAAGCGUGGGGAGCGAACAGGAUUAGAUACCCUGGUAGUCCACGCCGUAAACGAUGAGUGCUAAGUGUUAGGGGGUUUCCGCCCCUUAGUGCUGCAGCUAACGCAUUAAGCACUCCGCCUGGGGAGUACGGUCGCAAGACUGAAACUCAAAGGAAUUGACGGGGGCCCGCACAAGCGGUGGAGCAUGUGGUUUAAUUCGAAGCAACGCGAAGAACCUUACCAGGUCUUGACAUCCUCUGACAAUCCUAGAGAUAGGACGUCC
Molecule: ribosomal RNA, 968 nt
Filed under: Bacillus subtilis
Lineage: Bacteria; Bacillati; Bacillota; Bacilli; Caryophanales; Bacillaceae
Description: bacterial SSU rRNA
Rfam family: Bacterial small subunit ribosomal RNA
Source: RNAcentral